GGAAUAUUGGACAAUGGGGGGAACCCUGAUCCAGCCAUGCCGCGUGUGUGAAGAAGGCCUUUUGGUUGUAAAGCACUUUAAGCGAGGAGGAGGCUCCCAGUAUUAAUACUACUGGAGAGUGGACGUUACUCGCAGAAUAAGCACCGGCUAACUCUGUGCCAGCAGCCGCGGUAAUACAGAGGGUGCAAGCGUUAAUCGGAUUUACUGGGCGUAAAGCGUGCGUAGGUGGCCAAUUAAGUCAAAUGUGAAAUCCCCGAGCUUAACUUGGGAAUUGCAUUCGAUACUGGUUGGCUAGAGUAUGGGAGAGGAUGGUAGAAUUCCAGGUGUAGCGGUGAAAUGCGUAGAGAUCUGGAGGAAUACCGAUGGCGAAGGCAGCCAUCUGGCCUAAUACUGACACUGAGGUACGAAAGCAUGGGGAGCAAACAGGAUUAGAUACCCGGG
Molecule: ribosomal RNA, 441 nt
Filed under: uncultured Acinetobacter sp.
Lineage: Bacteria; Pseudomonadati; Pseudomonadota; Gammaproteobacteria; Moraxellales; Moraxellaceae
Description: bacterial SSU rRNA
Rfam family: Bacterial small subunit ribosomal RNA
Source: RNAcentral